GACGAACGCUGGCGGCGUGCUUAACACAUGCAAGUCGAACGGAAAGGCCCUGCUUUUGUGGGGUGCUCGAGAGGCGAACGGGAGAGUAAAACGUGAGUUAACUGACCUGGACCCUGCGAUAACUUCAGGGCAUUGGGGCUAAUACCGGAUAGGAGCUCCUGCUGCAUGGUGGGGGUUGGAAAGUUUCGGCGGUUGGGGAUGGACUCGCGGCUUAUCAGCUUGUUGGUGGGGUAGUGGCUUACCAAGGCUUUGACGGGUAGCCGGCCUGAGAGGGUGACCGGCCACAUUGGGACUGCGAUACGGCCCAGACUCCUACGGGAGGCAGCAGUGGGGGAUAGUGCACAAUGGGCGGAAGGCUUAUGCAGCAACGCCGCGUGCGUGAUGACGGCCUUCGGGUUGUAAACCGCUUUCGCCUGUGACGAAGCGUGAGUGACGGUAAUGGGUAAAGAAGCACCGGCUAACUACGUG
RNAcentral lists this ribosomal RNA (468 nucleotides) under uncultured bacterium. RNAcentral's name for it is "partial 16S ribosomal RNA". It matches the Rfam family "Bacterial small subunit ribosomal RNA", at positions 28 to 507 of the family's 1533-position model. The record is from RNAcentral.